GCCCUCGUUGUCUAAUGGUUAUGACGUCAGACUUCUAAUCUGGAGGUUGCGAGUUCGAGUCUCGCCGGGGGUA
This is a transfer RNA of Coprinopsis cinerea okayama7#130, 73 nucleotides long. It matches the Rfam family "tRNA". Rfam says of the family: Transfer RNA (tRNA) molecules are approximately 80 nucleotides in length. Lineage: Eukaryota; Fungi; Basidiomycota; Agaricomycetes; Agaricales; Psathyrellaceae. The record is from Rfam.